CCAGACUCCUACGGGAGGCAGCAGUGGGGAAUAUUGCACAAUGGGGGAAACCCUGAUGCAGCGACGCCGCGUGAGCGAUGAAGUAUUUCGGUAUGUAAAGCUCUAUCAGCAGGGAAGAAGAUGACGGUACCUGACUAAGAAGCCCCGGCUAACUACGUGCCAGCAGCCGCGGUAAUACGUAGGGGGCAAGCGUUAUCCGGAUUUACUGGGUGUAAAGGGAGCGUAGACGGCGGCGCAAGCCAGAUGUGAAAGCCCGGGGCUCAACUCCGGGACUGCAUUUGGAACUGUGUGGCUGGAGUGCGGGAGGGGCAGGCGGAAUUCCUGGUGUAGCGGUGAAAUGCGUAGAUAUCAGGAGGAACACCGGCGGCGAAGGCGGCCUGCUGGACCGCGACUGACGUUGAGGCUCGAAAGCGUGGGGAGCAAACAGGAUUAGAUACCCCUGUA
Molecule: ribosomal RNA, 444 nt
Filed under: uncultured bacterium
Lineage: Bacteria
Description: bacterial SSU rRNA
Rfam family: Bacterial small subunit ribosomal RNA
Source: RNAcentral